GACGAACGCUGGCGGCGUGCUUAACACAUGCAAGUCGAACGGAAAGGCCUGCUUUCCCUUGUGGAUUGCGGGUACUCGAGUGGCGAACGGGUGAGUAACACGUGAGUGAUCUGCCCCCAACUUGGGUAUAAGCCUGGGAAACUGGGUCUAAUUCCCGAUAGGACUGCAGGGUGGUGCCUGUGGUGGAAAACGAUUUUCUAGUGGUUGGGGGUGAGCUCGCGGCCUAUCAGCUGGUUGGGGGGGUAUUGGCCUACCAAGCCGGCGACGGGUAGCCGGCCUGGGAGGGUGGACGGCCACAUUGGGACUGAGAUACGGCCCAGACUCCUACGGGAGGCGGCAGUGGGGAAUAUUGCACAAUGGGCGGAAGCCUGAUGCAGCGACGCCGCGUGGGGGAUGACGGCCUUCGGGUGGUAAACUCCUUUCGACCGCGAGGAAGCCACCUGGUUGGAAGGGUGGUGACGGUAGUGGUAGAAGAAGCACCGGCUAACCACGUG
Molecule: ribosomal RNA, 494 nt
Filed under: uncultured bacterium
Lineage: Bacteria
Description: partial 16S ribosomal RNA
Rfam family: Bacterial small subunit ribosomal RNA
Source: RNAcentral